RNAcentral lists this ribosomal RNA (253 nucleotides) under uncultured bacterium. RNAcentral describes it as "partial 16S ribosomal RNA". It matches the Rfam family "Bacterial small subunit ribosomal RNA", at positions 524 to 776 of the family's 1533-position model. The record is from RNAcentral.
UACGUAGGAUGCAAGCGUUGUCCGGAAUUAUUGGGCGUAAAGAGCGAGCAGGCGGUUUGGAAAGUUGGACGUGAAAGCCCAGGGCUCAACCCUGGAAGUGCACUCGAUACUGCGAGGCUAGAGUCCCGGAGAGGAUGGUGGAACUCUCGGUGUAGAGGUGAAAUUCGUAGAUAUCGAGAGGAACACCGGUGGCGAAGGCGGCUUCCUGGACAGUUACUGACGCUGAGACGCGAAAGCGUGGGGAGCAAACAGG